CUGUCCCAUCCUUCCCAUUCCGCCGCCACCACACACUCACCCUGUUCCUCGAGAUCCUUCCCCGACCAACCACCUUGCUUUCAACGCCGCCCAACCAGAUCGCGUAGCAUCUCCCUCCUUGUUUUCAUCCUCGAGCCAAUCCCCUGCUCGAUCCAGCAGCCCAGCACCUCGGCCACCUCCUUCCUCGGCCCCUGCCCGGCGCUCCACCCCCAAGUAGCAGCAGCACCCGAGCGCUCCUCUCCUUGCCGGUGCGCCCCCCUCCAUUCCGGCGCCGGGAACGGAAACCCCGCGCCCGGAUCUCGCCACCACCGCCUUGCCUCUGCCCAACUGCCGCUGCAGCUCGGGGACACCACAAGCCAAGCUAUCCUCGUCGCCAGAGCCCCUCGAUCCCGAGCUCCUCCGACUCGCAACCUCGCGCCUCGCCGCCGACGACCACAUCCAGUAGGCCAGGCCGUGCCCUGCUCCCAAUCCUCCCCAUGGCGCUGUCGCACGGGUCUAGGCGUCCCCCACCUCUGCGUCGCCGGAGUCGCCAAGCUCCUGGUGCCGUCGCCGCUCCCUGCGUCAGCCCCGCCAUGGACGUCGUGGAGUGUUCCUCCGCUCCGGAGCUCCUUCCUCGACGCCGAGCUCGCCAAGCUCCGCCGCCUCGACGUCCUUCUUGCCGGAGUCCCGCACAAGCCGCUGCUGCGAGUCAUCCUCAACGCCUUGCCCGCCUCCGGUCGCUCAGCCGGCGAGCCCAGUCGCCGGUGACGCCCCGCAGGAGCGCGUCGCGCAGCCGCCGCCUGAAUCCGCCGCCUCCUGCCGUCGCCCGGAUCUAGCGCCCCUCCGCCCGUCCAUCCCCGGCCUCCUGUGCUCGCCUGCUUCCUCUGCAUCGAAGCCGCUUGCCCUUUGUCUGCAUCGCCCCGAACCGGUCUCCCCUCCGCGCGUUGACCACGCCCUGCCUCACUUCGGUCUGCCUGCGAAGCCCAGCCAGCCGGCCUGCCUUGCCUCUUCACCGACCGGGCCGAGGCCCACUGGCUUUGGUUUCGUUCCGGAGUUGUGAGGAUUCGUUCGACUACAUCCGUUUGUCUUCUUCAUGGACUCGUUCUUCUUCCUUGCGGGAUCUC
This is a non-coding RNA of Aegilops tauschii subsp. strangulata, 1103 nucleotides long. Lineage: Eukaryota; Viridiplantae; Streptophyta; Magnoliopsida; Poales; Poaceae. The record is from RefSeq and is a predicted model, not a curated record.